GGGCGGUUAGCUCAGCUGGAUAGAGCGUUGGUCUCCGAAGCCAAAGGUCGCGCGUUCGAAUCGCGCACUGCCCG
Molecule: transfer RNA, 74 nt
Filed under: Pseudomonadota bacterium
Lineage: Bacteria; Pseudomonadati; Pseudomonadota
Also listed under: 1 other name
Description: Proteobacteria bacterium tRNA-Arg
Rfam family: tRNA
About the family: Transfer RNA (tRNA) molecules are approximately 80 nucleotides in length. Their secondary structure includes four short double-helical elements and three loops (D, anti-codon, and T loops).
Source: RNAcentral